Molecule: ribosomal RNA, 422 nt
Filed under: uncultured Lachnospiraceae bacterium
Lineage: Bacteria; Bacillati; Bacillota; Clostridia; Lachnospirales; Lachnospiraceae
Description: bacterial SSU rRNA
Rfam family: Bacterial small subunit ribosomal RNA
Source: RNAcentral
UGGGGAAUAUUGCACAAUGGGGGAAACCCUGAUGCAGCGACGCCGCGUGAGUGAAGAAGUAUUUCGGUAUGUAAAGCUCUAUCAGCAGGGAAGAUAAUGACGGUACCUGACUAAGAAGCACCGGCUAAAUACGUGCCAGCAGCCGCGGUAAUACGUAUGGAGCAAGCGUUAUCCGGAUUUACUGGGUGUAAAGGGAGUGUAGGUGGCCAUGCAAGUCAGAAGUGAAAAUCCGGGGCUCAACCCCGGAACUGCUUUUGAAACUGUAAGGCUAGAGUGCAGGAGGGGUGAGUGGAAUUCCUAGUGUAGCGGUGAAAUGCGUAGAUAUUAGGAGGAACACCAGUGGCGAAGGCGGCUCACUGGACUGUAACUGACACUGAGGCUCGAAAGCGUGGGGAGCAAACAGGAUUAGAUACCCUGGUAGU